RNAcentral lists this transfer RNA (72 nucleotides) under Camelus ferus (Wild Bactrian camel). It matches the Rfam family "tRNA". Rfam says of the family: Transfer RNA (tRNA) molecules are approximately 80 nucleotides in length. Their secondary structure includes four short double-helical elements and three loops (D, anti-codon, and T loops). Further hydrogen bonds mediate the characteristic L-shaped molecular structure. tRNAs have two regions of fundamental functional importance: the anti-codon, which is responsible for specific mRNA codon recognition, and the 3' end, to which the tRNAs corresponding amino acid is attached (by aminoacyl-tRNA synthetases). tRNAs cope with the degeneracy of the genetic code in two manners: having more than one tRNA (with a specific anti-codon) for a particular amino acid; and 'wobble' base-pairing, i.e. permitting non-standard base-pairing at the 3rd anti-codon position. The record is from Rfam by way of RNAcentral. Lineage: Eukaryota; Metazoa; Chordata; Mammalia; Artiodactyla; Camelidae.
GAGGGUAUAGCUCAGCGGUAGAGCACAUGUUUAGCAUGCACAAGGUCCUGGGUUCAAUCCCCAGAACCUCCA